Molecule: non-coding RNA, 859 nt
Filed under: Stegodyphus mimosarum
Lineage: Eukaryota; Metazoa; Arthropoda; Arachnida; Araneae; Eresidae
Description: Eukaryotic small subunit ribosomal RNA
Rfam family: Eukaryotic small subunit ribosomal RNA
Source: Rfam by way of RNAcentral
GAGUUCGAAUCUAGAAGCGUGAAUGUUUGUAAAUGUAUAGCGUCUGCGGCAUGGGGGCAUUCUAAAUAAACGGAGAACCGAAAGUCCCCUCCAGAGGUUGGUGGAAAAACGGCUACCACAUCCAAGGAAGGCAGCAGGCGCACAAAUUACCCAUUCCCAGAAUGGGGAGGUAGAGACAAGAAAUAACAAUACGGGACUCCUCGGACCCCAUAAUUGAACACUAAAUCCUUUAAAGAGGAUCAAUAGGAGGGAAAGUCUGGUGUCAGUAGCGGCGGUAAUUCCAGCUCCAAUAGCGUAUAUUAAAGUUGUUGCGGUUAAAAAGCUCGUAAUGGGAUUUCAGUUCCAGCCGGGUGGUCCACCUUCCGGUGGUUACUGCUUGUCUUGGACAGCCAGCAUGUUUCCUUUGAUGAUCUUCCCCGGUUGUCUUCGGACCAAGGCGAAGUCUUACGGAGUACCUUUGCUAAUUAAAGCAAUUACCUCCACAUCAUCGUUAAGAGAAAUGAACAAUUCAAAAAGAGCAAUGGCUAAAGAAAUGAAAGAGAACCGCUAAGGUUUAAAUGUCCAAGAGUUGAAUAAGAAGUCCGCACAAUGGGACAAGAAAGUCUUUCAAACACUCUCUUACCUGUACAGGAAUUCCUGCAGCGAUAAUUGAGUGUUGAUUCGGUGACUGGCAAGUUUACUUUGAAAAAAUUAGUGCUCAAAGCAGGCGUGACGCUUGAAGAAAGCUGCAUGGAAUAAUAGAAUAGGACCUCGGUUCUAUUUUGUUGGUUUUAGGAAUAUGAGGUAAUGACUAAGAGAGACGAGGAACAGGGGUGGGAGAUCCUCAGACCUGUUUCCUCCAGGGUGCUUUUCAUCAAAA